RNAcentral lists this long non-coding RNA (296 nucleotides) under Vigna radiata. RNAcentral describes it as "long non-coding RNA (VRAD_LNC006673)". The record is from RNAcentral. Lineage: Eukaryota; Viridiplantae; Streptophyta; Magnoliopsida; Fabales; Fabaceae.
AGAAUAAUUGUAUGUGAUAAAAAGGUUCAAGUUUGGGGUUAUAUGGGGAAAGUAAAAGGAAAAAGCAAAAGCAUUGAGUUCAAAAGAUGAAAAAGAAAAAUGCAUGAGAAAGGAAAGAAAAGAAGAAAAGAGAAAAGUAUGUAAAGUGAACAAAAUGAAAAAUGUAAAAGGAAAAAGGGAAAAAAUUGGGAAUGAGUGAGAUUGGUUAAAAAGAGAGUGUGCUUGAACUUUGAAUAAUGAUUUAAACUCUCUUAACUCAAGGAUUUUGUAUUCCAGAAAAACCAAUUUUCUUGAUA